Molecule: ribosomal RNA, 465 nt
Filed under: Vreelandella stevensii
Lineage: Bacteria; Pseudomonadati; Pseudomonadota; Gammaproteobacteria; Oceanospirillales; Halomonadaceae
Description: partial 16S ribosomal RNA
Rfam family: Bacterial small subunit ribosomal RNA
Source: RNAcentral
CCUACGGGUGGCAGCAGUGGGGAAUAUUGGACAAUGGGCGAAAGCCUGAUCCAGCCAUGCCGCGUGUGUGAAGAAGGCCUUCGGGUUGUAAAGCACUUUCAGUGGGGAAGAAAGCCUUGGGGCUAAUACCCUCGAGGAAGGACAUCACCCACAGAAGAAGCACCGGCUAACUCCGUGCCAGCAGCCGCGGUAAUACGGAGGGUGCGAGCGUUAAUCGGAAUUACUGGGCGUAAAGCGCGCGUAGGCGGUCUGAUAAGCCGGUUGUGAAAGCCCCGGGCUCAACCUGGGAACGGCAUCCGGAACUGUCAGGCUAGAGUGCAGGAGAGGAAGGUAGAAUUCCCGGAGUAGCGGUGAAAUGCGUAGAGAUCGGGAGGAAUACCAGUGGCGAAGGCGGCCUUCUGGACUGACACUGACGCUGAGGUGCGAAAGCGUGGGUAGCAAACAGGAUUAGAUACCCGUGUAGUC